This 1455-nucleotide long non-coding RNA is filed under the name Anser brachyrhynchus (Pink-footed goose). RNAcentral describes it as "lncRNA (ENSABRG00000021765.1)". The record is from RNAcentral. Lineage: Eukaryota; Metazoa; Chordata; Aves; Anseriformes; Anatidae.
UUUAGUUUGUAGUUUCAGUAAUAGCUUGAUACUAUUUGUUCUUCUGCUUCAAUAAUUGUUCUUUCUUACUGUUGUGAAUUAGGCAGGACUAAUUCAUUUACACCAGACAGGUCUGUGACUAGGAUUUUUCUUGAAGGGUCCCUGGUGGCAUGUUUGGUUUUAUUUUUUCACUUUUUUGUUAGUCAGCCGUGUUAAAAGUAACUACCACUAAUGAAGGUGUACUUGAAUUUGCAAUACAGUCUGCUCUAUUUGCAAUACUGUCAUGCUCUUAACACCAGUAAUGUAAACAGUAUUUAAAAAAAAAAAAAAGUUGAUUUACUAAGUAAAAGGAUGCAACAAACUGCAGCUGCUAAUCCAUAACUACUUUGAGUCACAGGUAGUGCAUUUGGGAAAGCCCAAGUGCUGAUAUAGGCUCCACAAGACCAGUUGCAGUACAUGUAAGAGUGGUUCCUGCUGCUUUUACUUUCCCUGUUCUUGAGAGAUUGGCUUCCUCUCUGGUUGCACAGGUGAAAUGGUUCAUUGCCUGAAUCACCUUCCUUGUGAGCACCAUGGAUGGUGUGAGGGAAGGACAGCAGAAAGGAGGAGGAAGGGAGCAAGAUCCUUCUUGUGAGCUGGGGCAGGGAGAGGUCCUAUGCACUGAGCCUGCACUGGAAACCAUAUCAUCCUUCCCCUGUGGUGCAGAAUGGCUAGCUUCUAUAGGCAGUCCUCUUCUUAAGACUUUCAGGCAAUCCAGACAGAUUGAGUAUUAUCCCCGAAUGUUUAUUAUCACCUUAUGUAAAAGAUCGUGUGGCUAUUUUUCUUAAUUAUAUAAGCUUUUUAUUUUUCCACUUUAGAUAUGCAAACGUGGUUUGAUCUGAUAAGAUAUGAUCACUUGUAUUUGCCUGGUUAAUUCAAAAUUCACUGUCUCUGUUCACCAUUUUUUCCCAUUGGACUGUAUGUUUUAUUCUAAUGUGCAUGAUAUCAAACGUACCUGACACAAAUAUCUAGAAUGAACAUAUAGAUGUCGAUCAUUACUGGCUCUAUGUUUUUAACAGAUAUGGAAGUUUUUAUUUGUUCUGAAUGAUCAUAACCUAGAUUUACUGUAGUUAUCCUGUGACAUGUAGUUCAAUAAUGCAAUGAUAAAUAUGUGUUCCAGUAUUAGCAUAAUGUAGUUUCUCAGUAGCUUGAAGGACGUAUAGAGAACAGAUUGAUUCCAAAACUUUCCUAUUUUGAAAAUUUUCCCUGUAGAAAAAAAAUCUUGUGAAAUACACUCAGAUCUUCUAAUAAUGUAUAUUUUCAUGACAAACUUUAAAAUUUUACAUGUGUGUAUAUAUUUAAUUCAUGGGCACUUUGGGGGGGAAAAAAGUUACUCAUUUUGGUUUAUUUUUUUUAACUUUCAAUUUUUGUGUCUUUACUUUUCUCUCUUCCUGUCACUUGACAAAUAAAACUUUUAAAUUUACUCUUUAAAACUCUUCA